GAAGCUUUCUAAGUAUUGCCAGGGUUGAUCAACCGCCAAACAUUUUUGACACUUAUUGCUUUCAUAGCCAAAUGAAAGAAAAAAACUCCCUUGACAAUAGACUCAAUUAUUAUUACCAGUAAAUUCAACUGUAGCGAAAAGGCCUAGAAUUUCAGAUUCCAUUAAUGAAGAAUUGGUGCUUAUGACAGUGAUCAAGUUUUAGAGACUAAAAUUUCAUAUACUGAACUAAGA
This 231-nucleotide unclassified non-coding RNA is filed under the name Hevea brasiliensis (rubber tree). The record is from RNAcentral. Lineage: Eukaryota; Viridiplantae; Streptophyta; Magnoliopsida; Malpighiales; Euphorbiaceae.